This is a long non-coding RNA of Leopardus geoffroyi (Geoffroy's cat), 2543 nucleotides long. RefSeq lists it as uncharacterized. The record is from RefSeq and is a predicted model, not a curated record. Lineage: Eukaryota; Metazoa; Chordata; Mammalia; Carnivora; Felidae. The transcript is spliced from 4 exons.
AGCUUAUCAAUAAUAUAAAUGUUAAAUUCAUGCUUAAAUUAUGUUUUUCUUUAAUUUCUCAGUAAGCUGUUCUAGAAUUAGCUCCAUAAUUGUGCACAUCGCCACUUCUUCCCAAAUAUGUGCCCUUUGCCAGCUUCACUGCGGUCUUCUACCUCCACCCCCCCAUCCCCCCAGUCUUCCACUAGCAAACAAACCCAGCGGUAAUUACUAAUGUCCAAGCACGUAAUUCUGGCAGCGUUAGGCUUUUUCAUUUGACGCAACUAGGCAGAGCUGUCUGGACAUGCAGCAUGAAGUCAAAGCAUUUUAAAAGCCUCCUACCCUUUUUUUCUCCCCUCCUCCCAUCACUAAAACACAGUUGUUUAUUUCGUUUGCGGAUUGCAGAGUUAAAAAAUUCCUCCACGCAGUUACAUACCCCUGAAAAUUAAUUUUACAUCCAUAUAUAGUAAUAGAUCAACAUAUAUUUAUGUGGAAACACAUGGUUAUUUAUAAAAUUGAAAAACACUAGGAAAUAAAUAGCUGGGAAUGAAAAUAUCUUAUCUAUAUGGAUGGGGCAUUUUAGCAGCUCUAGUAUAGAAAUAAUCAGAGUUAUGACGAACAAAAACAAUCCAAGAUCUUAUUGUGAGGCUUUUCAAAGGAUCAUGACAGCGUUUCUUUAAUGCGUUGCAUAUAUUCUUACAUAUGACGCUGUUACUCUUACUUAACAACUAUUCAAAUAGCACAGUUUUGCUCCUGGUCAUUUUAUGCCUAUUUUAUUUAUAUCAAACAGCAGGAAACAUCCCUGUGGUAAUUUGUGUUCACUCAGAGGCCCCAAGCCUCAGAGUAGAAAAUGGUUAAAGUACUUAUCACUGCCUCAGCAAAAUCCCGCAGUGCCAUAAUAGAAAUUGCAGUAGAUCUUUAGGUCAGAGUCCAGUUUCAAUCUAACACCUGCAUUACCCUGAAGGACAAAGUUGCAUUUUCCUGAGGAAAACCAGUCUUAAUGAUGUCAAAAUCAAAAACUAUCAGCCUGAGAUAACCAAUGUCCAUAGGAAACACUUCCACUCACUCUGAAACCAUGGCCAAGGAGAUUAAAUCUACACUCUACAGGACCAAUAAUAUUUCUCAGAGAUGUAUUUGUGUGAGUGUGUGCUUAUGUUUAUGCCUAAUUACAAGGAUGGGGGAGAAGGAAGAGGUAGUGGGUUUCAUUUUUAAAGUUGAUUCUGCUUAAAGUUGAUUCUACCCCCAUAUAUUUUCUUUAUCAAAUAGAAAUAUAUAUAGAAAUAUAUCACUUUUGUAAACAGAUCAUGUUGGCAUCUUCAUAUAUACCUCAUUCAUGUGCACCCGCGGUCUGUAGACAAAUAUACUCUGUGUUAAAAACAAAAACAAACAAAACCCUUGAUAUCCGACUGGAGGAUGAAUGCAGAUUUUUUUUUAAUUUGUUUAUUUCCUACCUAAAAAAGGGGUAGAAGGUAACAUGAAAUUUUCCACAAGUAGACUUAUUUUUUUGAAGCUAUGCAGGAGCUGAGGAUGGGAGCAGGUAACUACCUGCAAAGGAGUCCUGUGGGAAGGAUUUUUCCCCCCUUUUUAAAAAAUUUUAACCUACUAUGCGUGCUCUAUGAGGGAGUCUCUGUGAGACCAGGGUCUCAGAGAGGCAAUUUGGCCUCCAGCCCUGAAUACCCAGCUCUGGCCAGGCAUCUCUGCGGCAGGUAGAUGCGGCGCUGCUGCCGACCGCUGUCCGCGGUGCUGAAAGGUCGCGGGCGCCUGUGCGGUCCCUCGGUAUUGCUGUCCAGGGUGCUGACUGCGGGCCGCCGCAGUCCCCGAGGCGAGCCCACCCCCGCCAGCCCUCCGCAGAGCCCUCCCACACAGCACGACCCGCCCGCCUCCCGCCAGCCUGCAGUUGACGUGGAGCAGGCGGCAUAAAUCAAGUCCGCGGGGCAUGGAGGCUGCUGCCGCUGCUGCAGCUCAGCUAGCCCGGGGCGGGAACUCCCCCUUCUCCUUUCGCCUCCCCAGCUCCCACAACCUGCCCUCUCCUUAAUUCUUCCCUGGAUAAUAGCGCCUUAACGACAAUAGUCAAACUAACAGGGUCAGAACGGCAGGGUUUGUUUGUUUUGGUCUACAGAAAAAAAAAAAAAAAAAAAAAAAAAAAAAAAACAACCCAGCAGCCUAAAGACCUCUGAAAACUGCAUCGCAAGAUGGAAGAGAGAGAGUCCCACUACUGUUUCGAAAGAGUAAGUUAUUAUUCGAAACCAUGGAAGCCAAAUGCAGGGGACACUAGCACCAUAAAAUGAAUGAAGCUGAGUGCUUGAAACACUGCUAGGAGGAGACACCAGGAACACCUCAUGAAUCUAAUUGGAGCAUUAUAAAGAAGAUUGAAUCUGGAUUCAAAUGCAGUUUCUUACAUAAGCCUGUGGCCAACAGGUGACCAAGGAUGCUGAGACAUUACCUGGGCCAGGAACAAUGUCCAGUGAGGCAUACAUCAAUCCCUGGAAAAUAGGAUGUUAAUGACCAAGACUAUGCAAGAAGCAAAACAGUUUGACAAGUGAGAGGACAACUAAGGGAUGUGCAAG